Long non-coding RNA from Dendrobium catenatum, 580 nucleotides. RefSeq lists it as uncharacterized. The record is from RefSeq and is a predicted model, not a curated record. NCBI's taxonomy places the organism in Eukaryota, Viridiplantae, Streptophyta, Magnoliopsida, Asparagales, Orchidaceae. The transcript has 3 exons.
CAAUUUGGACCAUUGCCAUGCCGCGCACGCCUUAGCAGCCCUAAUUGUCUUUGAGACUACCGGAAAGGCGUAAAAGUUGGCUGAAUAAGCGGCGCCGUAGCCCUACGAAAUCGAAGAGAUCAUGGAACUUUAGUUACAUUGGCUGCGUGCAGCUCUCUAGGUUCGCCGCGGCGUUUGGUAUUCGUCCACACCUCCGAGUACUUGCUCGCGGCUGCCAUACACAGGCGAUACAAUGUUUCAUGGAACUGCCGGUGAUGGGAAGCAUGGGCCUGCAUACUUGAGCAUGCUGGUUCAUGCAAAACUUCAGUCUAAGCCCCACAGAUUGUCACAGUGGGAGGUCUUUAUGAAGAUUUUGGAUGGUGCUUGACAAUAAGCAAAAAGAGCUGGUAGGAACUCUUGAGCUCUUUAAAAGUUGGAUCAUUUUCUUCUCCCUAUCACACACCCGUGUUUAAUGAGAACCUUCUCAUAGAAGUGGGAUAUAUGUAAUCUUGAUGGUUAUGUUAGAGUUGUUUCAUAUAUGGUACUUGAAAAUUAAAUUGAAAAGAGGGGAGAGUAGAAAAUGAGAAAUUAUAUGACUAAA